RNAcentral lists this long non-coding RNA (7282 nucleotides) under Triticum aestivum (bread wheat). Its description in RNAcentral is "long non-coding RNA (TAES_LNC023549)". Lineage: Eukaryota; Viridiplantae; Streptophyta; Magnoliopsida; Poales; Poaceae. The record is from RNAcentral.
GCCGAAGCCGCAGCCCCACCCGGACUACCACCCCCCUCCCACGCCCACCUACGGCGGCGGUGGCGGCGGCGGUGGAUACCACAGGCACCACUGAGUCAGGUCUACCCCCGUCCUGCCCAGCGAUGAAAUCUCAUCAUCAGCGGGUUGGUGAUCAGUGAGUGGUCGACGGUGCUAAUUAUGAUUGGUUUGCAUGCGUGAGUAUCGUUAGGUCUUCUGCCAUUCCCGCGAAGCCCCGUUUAUUAUCUGCACUGCAGAGUUGGGAGUUCAGAAUAACAGAUGUGCGUGUGUGUGUCGCUGUGUCAGGCAAGUGUGAGGGUGUGUUGGCGUGUUGCUUUAUCAAGAUUUUGUAAUUUCAGUGUGUGUUUUGUAUAAGAAGUUAUUAUGAAUCAAGUAAUUUAAACAAGUCGAUUUGUCAACCGAACAACUGCAGCUGUUCGAGACGAUUGGCAUGAUAAGGAUAGUGUGAUUUUACUUCAACUCAAUUUUCAGAUCCGUGAACUGAAACUGAAGUGAAAUUCAGGCGUGUGCAAUGCAUUCAUACUGCUGGUCAUAGUUUUUUCUCUUACGAUGAACAAGUCGAUUUAUGAACAUUUUUCCUAGAUAAGUGAGGCUUUUAAAAAAUGUUCAUCAUGUGUUCAAAACAAUGAUAACCGUAAAUUUAAAGCAAAAUUGUUCGCCGUGUAUCUUAAAAAUGUUCAUCAUGAAUUUAAAAGGUUUGCCACUAAUUUUAAAAAGUUCAUCAUGUAUUUAUAUCACUAAUUUAGUUAUCUAAACGCUCUUAUAUUAGUUUACAGAGGGAGUAUUUAAAAGUUGUCAUCACGUAAUUAAAAAAAGGUUAAUUGUGCAUUAAUGAAAAUUUUCACCAUGUUUCAGAAAUGUUCAUCAUGUAUUAAUAAACUUAACCUUGUAUUUUUAAAAGUAAAAAAAUGCUCAUUGUGUAUUUAAAACAUAUAAAGAUAUUUUUUUGUAAAUGAACUAAAAAUAUUCAUUCUGUAUUAAAAAAAUAUUCACCAUGAAUUGUUCAAAAAAAUCACCUUGUAUUAUUCAAAAACGCUCAGACACAAAGGACAAAUGCUCAUACACGGUGUGGGGAAAAGGAGAAAAUGCAUAGAGUAAAAGAACAACAAAAGAGGAAAAAUGGACAAUGAAAAAAAAAAGGAAAGAAUGAAGAAUCCAACUAAGAAAAAAAACAGUUCAGAAGCCAAACACAAAAACCAUGCAAAAAGACGCAGCAGGAACCAGCGAACGAAACAACACCCCUAGCUGGCCUGCCCAAGUCACCUUGCUUGUGACUGUCUUCGCAUCCAUUUGACGUGUGUGCGUAUUUGCCGGAGACCUCCUAUUCCCUGACCUACGCGGGGAAAAGUGAGGAAACAUGCACCUAAACCUGUGGGUAGCCCGACCCGAGCCUGGCCCGAAAAAUCCAGGCCACGCUGGGGCCUUGUUUUGCAGCCCAAUGUACAUUUCGCCUAGGCUCGGGCUUUUGUAACAAUACUGAGAAAUAGUAUUUGGUCGGGCUUUCAAUAUUCAGGUCGGGCUUACAACUAACAACAUUGAUAAACACCAUUCGAGCUAGACUUUCGGGCUUCGGGCCUAUAUUUGGCUGAGGCUCGAGCUUGAGAAAGUGUGUACUUUCGGGAUUUGGACCAGCUGGGGCUUGAAGUUUGGGUUUCUGGCUUUUUGAAGCCCAGCCCGCCAUAUAAUCAGGUUUAAGUGCACCCCCGCCCCCCACGCGUGCUUUUGGCCGGCCCAUAUGCGGGGUGAGCCGGGCUUAUUAUUAUUAUUUUUGCUUUUGUACUUUCGUUCUUUCUCAAUUGCAAGAAAUGUUCAUAAAAUAAGCAUAUGUUUGCACAUUUCUCAAAGUGCUUCAAAUUUUCAAAAUAUUAUAUGAUUUAAAUUCUUCAUAAAUUGAAAAUUUUCUUGAAUUUCAGAAAAUGUUCAUGAAUUGUAAAAUUGUUCCCCUAGUUCACAAAUUAUUCAUGUAUUUGAAAGUCCAUGGAUUCGAAAAUUGCUCGCGAAUUUGAGAAUGGAAUAAUAGAGUGAGUAUAGCAAUUGAUAUCUAUAGAUACUUUGCGAGGUUUAUAUCAUUAAAUUUAGAAAUGAUGUCAUUAUCACGACAUGUAUUGGAUGUCCUUUUUUCACUAGUUAAUAUCCAUAAAAUAUCAUGUUAGAUGACCGAUUUUUCAUAAUAUAACAUUUAUUGUGAAUCAAAAACCAGAAAGCAAGAAUCCUGCAAAGAAAAUGUAACACAUAAUCCUAGAGAGCGCCUUACACAUCUCAUUUCUAAGUGUGUUUACUUAUAAUUUGGUAAACAUAAGUCCAAGCAAAUCAAAGAAAAUCAAAGUACAGAGAAUACCUACAUACCAUGGCCCAUUGACCGGUCCACACAAUUGACUGCUUUAAUGUGACCCAUCAAAGACACUCAGAGCUUCAAAGGUGAACUGUUCUUUGAUCCAGGCUUUGGUUGGCACCGUAAAGAAUGCAAAAUAACAGCUCAAAUAUUUGUAUCAGCAAAAGAUCAAACAACUGAAAUAAGAAGCACAGAGCACAUGAGCAAGGAACAUAAAUGUUGUUAAUAAAACAAGAAAAAAACUAAGAUACACUUGUGUCACUCGCAACUCACUAACUCAUCACAAAUUCUUCAUACGAGCAAAAUAACACUACUAGGGACAAAGCAGGGCUUCGAUUUUCUUGCACAACAGCUAACAGUUAGAGUUUUUAAUUCAUGUUUACCCAAUAAUUCUCCACAAUUCCUCACAUAGUUUCUAGUUCAACCAUUACUGGUAUGUAAAUAGACAAGAUUAGAUCGAUACUAAAAUUUGCAUUACGCUAUCGACGAAUGACGGCUCAAUUUUAUCUCCACAUAGAUGACACAAGAAUCUCAUUUGAGCAGUUGGUCACAAUGCAUACUAGCAUACUAAUGUUUCCAAUCGAACCGCAGCCAGAAACUUAGAACGACUUAUCCAACUUCUACCACCAAAUCAAAUUCAUAAUAUGAUGUUGCCUCCACGUUCCACGAUCCCGGUAGGUACAUCCAUGCACUUUCCACAUGCGAGAUGCGAUGAAGAUGUGAGAUGUGGCCAAAGAUUUGGGAUGUUGUAAACAUAUCUACGAGAUAUUUUUUUCUCUAUGUAUACCUAAUAGUUUACUAGAAGCCGCUAUCAGGAUAUUUCUGACUUUAAAAGACACACACACACAGAGAGAGAGAGAUAUACGUAUAUACUAUGGUCAUGUGAGUGUCACAAAUUAAUCCAUGAAACAUGCAAUUUUAUGUAGUCUAUUUUCUUAUGGUUAGAGGGGUUAAGUUUAAGUAUUAUUUUAUGGUGCAAUCUAUUGAAUAGAAAGAAACUAAUCAAAUUUAGCGUAGGGCGUGCAUAUAUUUUAAUGACACACAUUACAACCUAGCAGAAAAUAAUAUUAUUUAUAUUGAGCAUAAUUAUCGUAAGUAAAUAUAAAAAAGAAGUAACCGCUCGCAGUUAAUAGUGAGUUUUAAACAUGUAUAAAAGUUUAAUAUAAAUAUUCAAUUUAAUUAGACUCGAUUUCUUGUCACCGCCCUAGAUUCAUGUUUGUAAUUAGUGGCAUUGCAUCCAUGCAUCAUGUCUAAUUUUAUCAGAAAUUUGAAUUGAGGGAAUUUUCAAAACCUCAGAAACAUUUUAGAAAUUAUCAACACUAAAAUCUUCUCAAAUAAGUCCAAGAAAAUGUUCCUGUUAUUUUAUGAAAAUAUUGGAAAGAGGUAAAAUUAAAACCAGUGUUUUUGGAUUGUCAGAAAUAUUUAUUUUGGGAAUUUGAGUUAAUCUAAUAAUUAUUUGCAUUAGACUUAUAUUUAUUAUAUAUUAAAUAUUGGUCCAAAAAAUUUGAAAGUUUGUAUGAGGCUCUGGACUAGUUCCCUAAGUCCACAUAUUGAAUUUCAGAAGUUUAUAAAGUGAUUUGGUAGUUAAACCAAAUCAAACAAACAGAACAAAAUGGAAAACAAAAACAGAAAGGGAAGAACAGAGAGAGAGAGAGAGAGUUUACCUGGCAGCCCACUUACCCGGCCCAACUCCUCUAGCCGGCCCAGCCUACCUGGCUCUGCCAGUCGUCCUCUACCUCGUGCCAGAGGGCACGAGGGCGUGUGGCCGCCGCCCACGCGUACGCACCGCGCCACCUCCUGCUUGCCGCUUCGCUCUGGCCCUCUCUGGACGUCGACACGUAGCCCCCUGGUCCUCUCCCUCGCUCCCCUCGUCCUUCCCCUCCUCUGGAUCCCUCUCUCUCUCUCACCACCGAGCGGGGCUCAUCGCCACCGACGCCGUUCACCGUAGCCACCGCCUCCUCCUGAACCUCUCUCCGCGCCCAGAAGCUCCGCCACUUCGUCCUCGACCCCCUCGCUGAGCCACGCAACGCCGGACGCCCUGAAGCCUCGCCAACACCGUCGUUCCCCUCGUCGGUCACCGCGGAUCCUCGCCGUUGAUUCAGGAGCUACAGGACCUCCCCGAGCACUCUGAGCUUCUCUACAAGUCCUCCGUGAGCCCCUCUUUCCCCUACCCUAACCUCGUUGCUUCGCUCGACCUCUAGCUAGCGCUGCCGCCAUGGCCGAGCUCCGCCGCCGCCUGCCUUGUCAUGCGCCACCAUUGCAGCCCGCGCCCGUCGUUGGAGAGCAUGGCAACGAGCUCGUCGUGCCUCCAGGAGGCCGGCUAUCCCUUUUGCUAGCUCGCCCGUGCCCCGUAGCACCGCUGCCCGCUUGCGCCCGAACUCCGGCCGCCGCCCAAGUGGUCGCCGCCGUCGACCCCGGCCUCCCUGCGCCUAGCUGCAUGCACCCCUGGAUGCGGGCGAGCGAGGGCUUCCUCAUGGUGCCCUGCUACCUCUUGAGCACUGCGUUGGUUUUCCCUAGAAAAGGAAAGGGUGAUGCAGCAAAGUGGCGUAAGUAUUUCCCUCAGUUUUUGAAAACCAAGGUAUCAAUCCAGUAGGAGGCUACACACGAGUCCCUCGCACCUACACAAACGAAUAAAUCCUCGCAACCAACAUGAUAAGGGGUUGUCAAUCCCUACACGGUCACUUACGAGAGUGAGAUCUGAUAGAUAUGAUAAGAUAAUAUUUUUGGUAUUUUUGUGAUAAAGAUGCAAAGUAAAGAAAGUAAAAUAAAAACGGCGCUAGAAAUAGCUAAGUGUUGGAAGAUUAAUAUGAUGGAAAAUAGACCCGGGGGCCAUAGGUUUCACUAGUGGCUUCUCUCGAGAGCAUAAGUAUUUACGGUGGGUGAACAAAUUACUGUUGAGCAAUUGACAGAAUUGAGCAUAGUUGUGAGAAUAUCUAGGCAUGAUCAUGUAUAUAGGCAUGACGUCCGAAACAAGUAGACCGACUCCUGCCUGCAUCUACUACUAUUACUCCACACAUCGACCGCUAUCCAGCAUGCGUCUAGAGUAUUAAGUUCAUAAGAACAGAGUAACGCUUUAAGCAAGAUGACAUGAUGUAGAGGGAUAAACUCAUGCAAUAUGAUAUAAACCCCAUCUUGUUAUCCUCGAUGGCAACAAUACAUUACGUGCCUUGCUGCCCCCACUGUCACUGGAAAAGGACACCGCAAGAUUGAACCCAAAGCUAAGCACUUCUCCCAUUGCAAGAAAGAUCAAUCUAGUAGGCCAACCCAAACUGAUAAUUCGAAGAGACUUGCAAAGAUAACCAAUCAUACAUAAAAGAAUUCAGAAGAUUCAAAUAUUGUUCAUAGAUAAGCUUGAUCAUAAACCCACAAUUCAUCGGUCUCCACAAACACAUCACAAAAGAAGAUUACAUCGAAUAGAUCUCCACAAGAGAGGGGGAGAACAUUGUAUUGAGAUCGAAAAAGAGAGAAGAAGCCAUCUAGCUAAUAACUAUGGACCCGAAGGUCUGAGGUAAACUACUCACACUUCAUCGGAGAGCCUAUGGUGUUGAUGUAGAAGCCCUCCGUCAUCGAUGCCCCCUCCGGCGGAGCUCCGAAACAGGCCCCAAGAUGGGAUCUCACGAAUACAGAAGGUUGCGGCGGUGAAAUUAGGUUUUUAGCUGCGUAUCUGAUCGUUUGGGGGUACGUAGCUAUAUAUAGGAGGAAGGAGUACGUCGGUGGAGCAACGUGGGGCCCACGAGGGUGGAGGGCGCGCCCAGGGGGUAGGAGCGCCCCCUACCUCGUGGCUUCCUGGUAGCUUUCUUGACGUAGGGUCCAAGUCAUCUGGAUCAUGUUUGUUCCGAAAAUCACGUUUCCGAAGGUUUCAUUCCGUUUGGACGCCGUUUGAUAUCCUGCGAAACUCUGAAAUAGGCAAAAACAGCAAUUCUGGGCUGGGCCUCCGGUUAAUAGGUUAGUCCCAAAAAUAAUAUAAAAGUGCAUAAUAAAGCCCAAUAAUGUCCAAAACAGAAGAUAAUAUAGCAUGGAGCAAUCAAAAAUUAUAGAUACGUUGGAGACGUAUCAAGCAUCCCCAAGCUUAAUUCCUGCUCGUCCUCGAGUAGGUAAAUGAUAAAAACAGAAUUUUUGAUGUGGAAUGCUACUUGGCAUAAUUUCAAUGUAAUUUUUAUUAAUUGUGGUAUGAAUAUUCAGAUCCGAAAGAUUCAAGAUAAAAGUUCAAUAUUGACAUAAAAAUAAUAAUACUUCAAGCAUACUAACUAAGCAAUUAUGUCCGCAGCAUCGCCGGAGUGCGCGUCCAUGACCCUGUGCGGGCCGAUCAAGAAGCACAUCAUUGAGCACUUCCACCACAAGAAGCCCGUGCCGCCUAAGCCGGAGCUCAAGCCCCAGCCCCACCCGGACUACGGGCCCGUGCCCAAGCCGGAGCCGAAGCCGCAGCCCCACCCGGACUACCACCCCCCUCCCACGCCCACCUACGGCGGCGGUGGCGGCGGCGGUGGAUACCACAGGCACCACUGAGUCAGGUCUACCCCCGUCCUGCCCAGCGAUGAAAUCUCAUCAUCAGCGGGUUGGUGAUCAGUGAGUGGUCGACGGUGCUAAUUAUGAUUGGUUUGCAUGCGUGAGUAUCGUUAGGUCUUCUGCCAUUCCCGCGAAGCCCCGUUUAUUAUCUGCACUGUAGAGUUGGGAGUUCAGAAUAACAGAUGUGCGUGUGUGUGUCGCUGUGUCAGGCAAGUGUGAGGGUGUGUUGGCGUGUUGCUUUAUCAAGAUUUUGUAAUUUCAGUGUGUGUUUUGUAUAAGAAGUUAUUAUGAAUCAAGUAAUUUAAACAAGUCGAUUUGUCAACCGAACAACUGCAGCUGUUCGAGACGAUUGGCAUGAUAAGGAUAGUGUGAUUUUACUUCAACUCAAUUUUCAGAUCCGUGAACUGAAACUGAAGUGAAAUUCAG